AGAGCUCAGCUUGGUCCCGCCGCCCGGCCGGUGCUCCCGGGCACAGCCACGCAGGCGCACCGCAGACAGACCCCUCUGCCAUGAACCAGUCCAUCCCAGUGGCUCCCACCCCACCCCGCCGUGUGCGGCUGAAGCCCUGGCUGGUGGCCCAGGUGAACAGCUGCCAGUACCCAGGGCUUCAAUGGGUCAACGGGGAAAAGAAAUUAUUCUGCAUCCCCUGGAGGCAUGCCACGAGGCAUGGUCCCAGCCAGGAUGGAGAUAACACCAUCUUCAAGGCCUGGGCCAAGGAGACAGGGAAAUACACCGAAGGCGUAGAUGAAGCCGAUCCGGCCAAGUGGAAGGCCAACCUGCGCUGCGCCCUUAACAAGAGCCGGGACUUCCGCCUCAUCUACGACGGGCCCCGGGACAUGCCACCUCAGCCCUACAAGAUCUACGAGGUCUGCUCCAAUGGCCCUGCUCCCACAGACUCCCAGCCCCCUGAGGAUUACUCUUUUGGUGCAGGAGAGGAGGAGGAAGAAGAGGAAGAGCUGCAGAGGAUGUUGCCAAGCCUGAGCCUCACAGGUGGGGCCGGGAGGUGGUGGUUGGGGGUCUAGUAUACAGAGAACCUACAGGUACCAUAGGUACCUGGGAGGCGGCUGAUGGGAGGCUGGGGUGGCUCAGGGCUGGGAGGAGGUGUGCCCGGGAGGCAGUUCGUGGAGGUGGCACUGACAGCCAUCCACACGCACUCUCUGUAGAUGCAGUGCAGUCUAGCCCCCACAUGGCACCCUAUUCUUUACUCAAAGAGGAUGUCAAGUGGCCACCCACUCUGCAGCCACCCACUCUGCAGCCGCCCACUCUGCAGCCGCCCGUGGUGCUGGGUCCCCCUGCUCCGGACCCCAGCCCCCUGGCUCCUCCCCCUGGCAACCCUCCUGGCUUCAGGGAGCUUCUCCCUGAGGUCCUGGAGCCUGGGCCCCUGGCUGCCAGCCUGCCCCCUGCAGGCGAACAGCUCCUGCCAGACCUGCUGAUCAGCCCCCACAUGCUGCCUCUGACCGACCUGGAGAUC
Molecule: small RNA, 1042 nt
Filed under: Pongo abelii (Sumatran orangutan)
Lineage: Eukaryota; Metazoa; Chordata; Mammalia; Primates; Hominidae
Description: retained intron
Source: RNAcentral